UACGGGGGGGGCAAGCGUUGUUCGGAAUUACUGGGCGUAAAGGGCUCGUAGGCGGCCAACUAAGUCCGACGUGAAAUCCCAAGGCUUAACCUUGGAACUGCGUCGGAUACUGGAUGGCUUGAAUUCAGGAGAGGGAUGCAGAAUUCCAGGUGUAGCGGUGAAAUGCGUAGAUAUCUGGAGGAAUACCGGUGGCGAAGGCGGCAUCCUGGACCGAGAUUGACACUGAUGAGCGAAAGCUAGGGGAGCAAACGGG
This 253-nucleotide ribosomal RNA is filed under the name uncultured bacterium. RNAcentral describes it as "partial 16S ribosomal RNA". It matches the Rfam family "Bacterial small subunit ribosomal RNA", at positions 524 to 776 of the family's 1533-position model. The record is from RNAcentral.